Molecule: ribosomal RNA, 308 nt
Filed under: uncultured Methanobacterium sp.
Lineage: Archaea; Methanobacteriati; Methanobacteriota; Methanobacteria; Methanobacteriales; Methanobacteriaceae
Description: bacterial SSU rRNA
Rfam family: Archaeal small subunit ribosomal RNA
Source: RNAcentral
CAAUGCGAGCAAUCGUGAUAAGGGAACUCCGAGUGCCCGUAAAAUCGGGCUGUCCGCCAGUGUAAAUAACUGGUGAAGAAAGGGCCGGGCAAGACCGGUGCCAGCCGCCGCGGUAAUACCGGCGGCUCGAGUGGUGGCCACUAUUACUGGGCUUAAAGCGUUCGUAGCUGGUCUGUUAAGUCUCUGGGGAAAUCUUCCGGCUUAACCGGAAGGCGUCUCAGGGAUACUGGCAGACUAGGGACCGGAAGAGGUGAGAGGUACUCCAGGGGUAGGAGUGAAAUCCUGUAAUCCUUGGGGGACCACCUGUG